GAGUGACCCUUGGCCCAGUUGUUUCCGGCACCAGACUGACCGAAGACGACGUUAUCGGGGCGGAAGAGCUGACCAAAAGGACCGGCGCGGACAGCAUCGAGAGCGGCGGGCUCAAGAUCAACAAGAACCGCACGGGGAACGUAUUUUUUGCUUGAGGCCUUUGCCUCCAAUGAGUUAGUAUGCUGCUGAAGGGAAGGGUCUUGGUCGUGCACACCUCGUUGAAGUAGACAUUCAUGCGCUCCAAUUGGAGGUCAGAAGAUCCGGUGUAGCUAUAGAAAUCCCAGUUGUCAACGUUCAAGUCCCUCAAGACCGGAACUUUUUCUUGCAGAAUCACUCACUGGCCGGAUCCAUCGAGACCGUGCUCACCAGCAAUGGUUUGCCUGUAAACCAAGUCAGUAACAACUCGACACGAAAUAUACAAUUAUGCUGCAACGCAUGAAUGCUCACCAGAAAGCAGCACCGA
This 463-nucleotide unclassified non-coding RNA is filed under the name Trichophyton interdigitale. Its description in RNAcentral is "sequence contains 18S rRNA gene, ITS1, 5.8S rRNA gene, ITS2, 28S rRNA gene". Lineage: Eukaryota; Fungi; Ascomycota; Eurotiomycetes; Onygenales; Arthrodermataceae. The record is from RNAcentral.